RNAcentral lists this ribosomal RNA (661 nucleotides) under Escherichia coli. RNAcentral describes it as "partial 23S ribosomal RNA". It matches the Rfam family "Bacterial large subunit ribosomal RNA", at positions 2251 to 2906 of the family's 2925-position model. Lineage: Bacteria; Pseudomonadati; Pseudomonadota; Gammaproteobacteria; Enterobacterales; Enterobacteriaceae. The record is from RNAcentral.
ACAGUGUCUGGUGGGUAGUUUGACUGGGGCGGUCUCCUCCUAAAGAGUAACGGAGGAGCACGAAGGUUGGCUAAUCCUGGUCGGACAUCAGGAGGUUAGUGCAAUGGCAUAAGCCAGCUUGACUGCGAGCGUGACGGCGCGAGCAGGUGCGAAAGCAGGUCAUAGUGAUCCGGUGGUUCUGAAUGGAAGGGCCAUCGCUCAACGGAUAAAAGGUACUCCGGGGAUAACAGGCUGAUACCGCCCAAGAGUUCAUAUCGACGGCGGUGUUUGGCACCUCGAUGUCGGCUCAUCACAUCCUGGGGCUGAAGUAGGUCCCAAGGGUAUGGCUGUUCGCCAUUUAAAGUGGUACGCGAGCUGGGUUUAGAACGUCGUGAGACAGUUCGGUCCCUAUCUGCCGUGGGCGCUGGAGAACUGAGGGGGGCUGCUCCUAGUACGAGAGGACCGGAGUGGACGCAUCACUGGUGUUCGGGUUGUCAUGCCAAUGGCACUGCCCGGUAGCUAAAUGCGGAAGAGAUAAGUGCUGAAAGCAUCUAAGCACGAAACUUGCCCCGAGAUGAGUUCUCCCUGACUCCUUGAGAGUCCUGAAGGAACGUUGAAGACGACGACGUUGAUAGGCCGGGUGUGUAAGCGCAGCGAUGCGUUGAGCUAACCGGUACUAAUG